Molecule: antisense RNA, 95 nt
Filed under: Staphylococcus ureilyticus
Lineage: Bacteria; Bacillati; Bacillota; Bacilli; Caryophanales; Staphylococcaceae
Description: ctRNA
Rfam family: ctRNA
About the family: Rolling circle replication plasmids contain a number of mechanisms to maintain a low copy number. One of these methods is to transcribe a small RNA called ctRNA (for counter-transcribed RNA) than is transcribed on the opposite strand to RepB the replication initiation protein. ctRNA binds to the mRNA of repB and causes translational inhibition.
Source: RNAcentral
AUACAAAAUAAAAAUAAAAACAUCGACUGUUUUUCUUUAGGUAAGUCGCUAUCACAAACUUUGGUCGGGGAGUGAGCGACUUCUUUUUAUUUGCU